RNAcentral lists this ribosomal RNA (254 nucleotides) under uncultured bacterium. RNAcentral's name for it is "partial 16S ribosomal RNA". It matches the Rfam family "Bacterial small subunit ribosomal RNA", at positions 57 to 305 of the family's 1533-position model. The record is from RNAcentral.
GCAAGUCGAGGGGUAACAGAUGAAGAGCUUGCUCUUGCUGACGAGUGGCGCACGGGUGCGUAACGCGUAUGCAACCUACCCUGAUCAGGGGGAUAGCCCAGAGAAAUUUGGAUUAAUACCCCAUAAUAUUAUUGAUUGGCAUCAAUUAAUAAUUAAAACUCCGGUGGAUCAGGAUGGGCAUGCGUCCUAUUAGCUAGUUGGUGUGGUAAUGGCACACCAAGGCAACGAUAGGUAGGGGUUCUGAGAGGAUGAUC